This 460-nucleotide ribosomal RNA is filed under the name uncultured bacterium. RNAcentral describes it as "partial 16S ribosomal RNA". It matches the Rfam family "Bacterial small subunit ribosomal RNA", at positions 338 to 795 of the family's 1533-position model. The record is from RNAcentral.
CCUACGGGUGACAGCAGUGAGGAAUAUUGGUCAAUGGGCGGAAGCCUGAACCAGCCAAGUCGCGUGCAGGAUGACGGCCCUACGGGUUGUAAACUGCUUUUAUACGGGAAUAACGCGCCUUACGUGUAGGGCUUUGCAUGUACCGUAUGAAUAAGGACCGGCUAAUUCCGUGCCAGCAGCCGCGGUAAUACGGAAGGUCCGGGCGUUAUCCGGAUUUAUUGGGUUUAAAGGGAGCGUAGGCCGCAUGUCAAGCGUGCUGUGAAAUGUCCGGGCUCAACCCGGGCCUUGCAGCGCGAACUGGCGGGCUUGAGUGCGCGGAAGGCAGGCGGAAUUCGUGGUGUAGCGGUGAAAUGCGUAGAUAUGACGAAGAACCCCGAUGGCGAAGGCAGCUUGCUGGAGCGGAACUGACGCUGAGGCUCGAAAGCGCGGGUAUCGAACAGGAUUAGAUACCCCUGUAGUC